Long non-coding RNA from Arvicanthis niloticus (Nile rat), 419 nucleotides. RefSeq lists it as uncharacterized. The record is from RefSeq and is a predicted model, not a curated record. NCBI's taxonomy places the organism in Eukaryota, Metazoa, Chordata, Mammalia, Rodentia, Muridae.
AUGGAUUUAAAAUUCCUCUUCUAAGGCUGCUGGAUACACACCUGUAGGAUAGAAGCAUCACACUGGCUGAUGAGGGAUCUGUGGAGGUUAAGUGAAGAAAGGAUUCUGGUGUUUGUCUUUACCUGCUUUUCUAGAGUGUUCUGUGGAAAACAAUGUCCUUUCUGCACCAAAAGAUGAACUAGCAAGAAGUGCAGCCAGAAAACAAACCACGUACUCUUUCCGUUGACAUUGUCUUUAUGUUGACCCAGAAACAUGAAAAUGAAGAUGAUAACGGUACCUACUACAAGUGAUGACUGCGACAGUGUCACAGAAUACACUGGCAGAGUUCUCAGCCCAGGAUCCAGCAUGAAGCAAGCCCCUAGUGACCAUCAGUCACUACCCCAGCCAUGAAAAACAGAACGACUUGCUGUUUGCCCUGU